Hypomesus transpacificus is the source of this 1829-nucleotide long non-coding RNA. RefSeq lists it as uncharacterized. The record is from RefSeq and is a predicted model, not a curated record. Lineage: Eukaryota; Metazoa; Chordata; Actinopteri; Osmeriformes; Osmeridae. The transcript has 4 exons.
GGGAGGGGGCUUGGCCACUUCCUGUGGUUUCUGAUUGGCCAAUCUGCCAUACCCCCCUCACACCCUCUUGUGUUCAAUUAAGACUUAAUUAGGCCCAACACUUUCUUUAUAAAAGUUACCAAUGACUUAAUUCCUAUCUAAAACCUCUUAAAAAAAUAGAGCAAGGGGGAAAUUUAAAAUUAUUUUCCAAAAGAUAAAACACUAGACUAGGCUCUGGCUGGGUUAGGUUUGGGAAGGUCUUAGCCCAAUCAAGGGCUAGAGUUGCACUGGCACAAGUCUUAUGCUUAUAUUUUAUGGUUUUUUUCAUCCCCAGGAAAAAGGUGAAGAGGAGGAUUAUAUUCCCAUCAAGGUAGGUAUCCUAGUAGGUAAGUAUCCCAGGUAAGUAAAAGACUAAAUACCCUAUACUGUAGAUCUGUGUUGAUCUUCUUUCUUUUUUUGUCCUACAGGAACCUUUCUGCCCCCCACUGGUCACCACAGGUAAGUAUCCCAGGUAAGAAGGUAUGUGCAUAUAUACACUUUUUUCUGAUUCCUGAUAUUGUUAAAUCACUUUUUCUCCUUCCACAGGAAUCCCUCACCUCCCACCUGGAAGACAGCAGGGGGUAUACAACCUUUAGAUGUUCAUAUUAAUAAAUCACCAAUCCAUAAUUUUAACAUUGUCUCUGCGGUUUCAGUGGUCCAGAGAACCGGAUCCCGUCCCGUUACCUGGAAUUGGCGUUGAUCCAUCUCAGGUUUUCCCAAGCUGCUGCAGCUGUUUCACUGUGGUCCUGGGUUUCUGUCUAUCCAGACAGUUCACCAUCCCCACUGACAGAAUCACAUGUUCUGUGUUUGGGUUCGGCGUCAGCUUCUCCAGUAUCCCCCUUAAAUGAUGGCAGUUUGCCCCUGGGAAACUGUCAACCUGGAUAUGUUCAUCCUUAAAAGUCGGAUGGAUAACGGGCUCCUCUCUGAGGAGGACCUUUGGCUGUGACUGGCUGAGAGCGUGACGGAGAUGUUCCAGAGGCCUCUAAAGUUUCCCUCAUCCCUACCAAAGGUAAGUAUCCAUGCCCCUGGGCGACAACACUGAUGGGGGGCCCCAGCCUGGUUGGGGCUGUGCCCCCUCUCCCUGUGGAUGCAGGCAAUGGUGGAAAGGCCUCCGGAUCUGGUUGGAGGGUUUGAGAAGAUGGACUUUCUCCCGGGGAGGUAAGUAUAUCCCGCAAUGUUUUCACUGAUGUUGUUGUGAAUUUGCGUUUAUAUCUCAACCUGCCCCAGCCCACCGCCAAUCGGAAAGCCUCCUCAUCCAUCACAGGUAAGUCGCUCAGUAAAAAGACCAGCAAAUCAUCAUAAUGACGUUUUAAAAUUUCCAGGUUCCCCUCUAACCAUUUGUUGGUGUUGAUUUUCACCUUACUGGUGGUUUCAGACGAGGGGGACGCAGGCUUAAUAAAAGUUGUUAAUUUAUUAACCUGCCUCUGCAUCCCUCUUGGACAGGACCCCUUGGAGAUGGAAUCAUCCAGGAUCUCUGUGUGAUGCAGAGCUUGGAGAAGUUUAAAAUAGAUUUUGGCCAGUGGGACAUUCAGGCAUUUGGGAUGGUUUCUCCCGUUUCCUGUUUCUGUUGGUCCCACUUCCAUACUCCUUAUAAAAAGUAAAACCGCUAAAACUGCUAAAAGUAUUUCUAAAAUGUCUCAAUAAAAUUGUUUAGACAUAAAUAAAGUGCAUCUAUUGCCUAUGGUAUUUUCAUAUUUAGUCCUUUUAUUGCACAUAGAAAAUGAUGGCCUUUAGAAAAGCCUUUCUAAAGAGAGCCCUUACUACAAGGGUUGUCUUUUUUUGCCCCAAUGACACCUGUGCAGGGUGAAGAU